CUUUCGCCUCCGCGACACAGCCUAUUCCACUAGGUUCACGCGAAGCAGUGACUGGCUACCCUCCAAAAAGAAACACCGAACUCUCUGUGCACCACCAAAGCUAGCAAAAACUAGUCAAUUCCAGUCAACACGACUCCGUCUACUAUCAACAAGAGAUUAAGGAUGAUCAGUUCCUCAAUUUGUCAAUAAAUAGUCGACAAUCAUGAUGGUGGUUUAGACCAUCUUUACCCAACUUAAAUGAUGCUUCAUUCCACUUGUGCUCAAUGUCCUCCGUGGUACAAGGGUUCCACAAUUCCUUCGAGGUUUUCCUUAAUGCUUUCCUCGAUCUCUUACGAUUUCGACCUUGUCUUCGUAAGACACAACGCUCAAAACACGGCACUCAAACUCUCAUGCUUCCACUCAUGAGACAUCCAUUGAGUAUAAUCCAACAGUAGUACAGUGCCACCACGGCAGUUACCACCAAACCGUUACAUUCCGAAAGAAGUUGUCUUCUCUAUAGAAGAACUUCACACUUGACUGAUAUCCAUAAGUUCGCAACUCAAUGAAUAUGUCGAACCGUAUGCUCACCUUCGAAUCUCUUUCCAAACACGACUUAAAUAAUACCAUCCCAACCUCCCGGUUGGUGAUUACAACUCCCCAUUUGUCUUGGCACUUGCCAAACUAUACCAUCUACUCCUCUUGGACUCCCUUAUACAAUCUCAAUUUCCCAAAAAUUGGUUUCUUACACGUCCACAUUACUUCCCAAAAAUAAACCUUAGGGUACUCCUUACAUUACUAUUGUUCAACCAUCCAUGGUGACAAUAUCCGAAUUCCUUUACAAGAAUGACGUCCACUCGUCCACACUCAACAUCUUCGAGUGACCACAUCCAACGCUACUUCCAAGAAUCCCUUGUAGUUCUGAUUUGUUCCACCAUCUUUCUUUCUCACCAUUAGGACUGAUGCUCCUCACGGGGACACACUUGGCGUAAUAAAUCCUUUUUUCAAUUCCACAGAAACUUCCACAUCCAUCCGACAAGUGUUAAAAGCAGUCACAUCACGUUUGGUUGAAGUCACACACUAACUCAUUCGGGGGUCACUCCCACGAAAGACUCACUGCUACUAACAACGAUUCGCGAAACCAACGCGACUCUAACUCUAGACUGACUGACCUCAGACUGUUAACUCAUGUACACACUUUCCCUUUGAAGAUCUAAUGCCGAGCUCUGAUACCAAAAUGUAACACCCC
Molecule: long non-coding RNA, 1225 nt
Filed under: Trifolium pratense (red clover)
Lineage: Eukaryota; Viridiplantae; Streptophyta; Magnoliopsida; Fabales; Fabaceae
Description: long non-coding RNA (TPRA_LNC004303)
Source: RNAcentral